RNAcentral lists this unclassified non-coding RNA (253 nucleotides) under uncultured Oligoflexales bacterium. Its description in RNAcentral is "contains 16S-23S intergenic spacer region". It matches the Rfam family "Bacterial small subunit ribosomal RNA", at positions 524 to 776 of the family's 1533-position model. The record is from RNAcentral. Lineage: Bacteria; Pseudomonadati; Bdellovibrionota; Oligoflexia; Oligoflexales.
UACGGAGGGUGCAAGCGUUGCUCGGAAUUAUUGGGCGUAAAGGGGAGGUAGGUGGUCCCGCAUGUCUGGGGUGAAAUCCCUGAGCUUAACUCAGGAAGGUCCUCAGAAACGGCGGGACUAGAGUGCUGGAGAGGCUAGCGGAAUUCCCGGUGUAGCGGUGAAAUGCGUAGAGAUCGGGAGGAACACCAGAGGCGAAGGCGGCUAGCUGGACAGUAACUGACACUGAACUCCGAAAGCGUGGGUAGCAAACAGG